This 72-nucleotide transfer RNA is filed under the name Ictidomys tridecemlineatus (thirteen-lined ground squirrel). RNAcentral describes it as "Spermophilus tridecemlineatus (thirteen-lined ground squirrel) tRNA". It matches the Rfam family "tRNA". From Rfam's summary of the family: Transfer RNA (tRNA) molecules are approximately 80 nucleotides in length. Their secondary structure includes four short double-helical elements and three loops (D, anti-codon, and T loops). Further hydrogen bonds mediate the characteristic L-shaped molecular structure. tRNAs have two regions of fundamental functional importance: the anti-codon, which is responsible for specific mRNA codon recognition, and the 3' end, to which the tRNAs corresponding amino acid is attached (by aminoacyl-tRNA synthetases). tRNAs cope with the degeneracy of the genetic code in two manners: having more than one tRNA (with a specific anti-codon) for a particular amino acid; and 'wobble' base-pairing, i.e. permitting non-standard base-pairing at the 3rd anti-codon position. The record is from Rfam by way of RNAcentral. Lineage: Eukaryota; Metazoa; Chordata; Mammalia; Rodentia; Sciuridae. RNAcentral also lists the same sequence under 1 other name.
GGGAGUAUUGCUCAGUGGUAGAGCACUUGCCGAACAUGCAUGAGGCCCUGGGUUCCAUCCCCAGCACUGCAG